Molecule: unclassified non-coding RNA, 552 nt
Filed under: Hevea brasiliensis (rubber tree)
Lineage: Eukaryota; Viridiplantae; Streptophyta; Magnoliopsida; Malpighiales; Euphorbiaceae
Source: RNAcentral
GAUAUAUGAGAAGGCUGUAAAGAUUCUUGAAACAUAUUGGAUAGAGGAGGAAGAUGAGAACAUGGCGGCUGAUGUUGGUGAAGCUGUUUAUCAGUUUGGAGAGGGAGAAGUCCCAGUUCCUUCCGGAGGAUUCCACUUUGGCUGAAGGGGUGUUCUGCCAUGGGGGAGCUGUUGGGUGAUAUGCUCCCAGCUUGUGAUGGUGAUGUGUUGGGGUCAGUCGGGGAGUCGGCAAUGCCAGUCCAGGUCCUGUCAGUCCAGUCUCGAGUGUUGGUCUGUCCAGUCUCAGGUGUUGGUCGAGUGGAUGGUCGUGGUGGUUUCAAUAAUGUGGGCAUCAUUGAAGACAUAUUUUGGGUCUUGAGGUUAAAAUUUUCUGGGCCCUGUUCCUUCCUAUAGGGGUUAUUUUCUUUGUAGGAUGGUGGGGGUACAGUUGGCCGGUCUAUGAGUUGAUUCUUGCCAGAGAUAUGUUGUUUACAGGUCGUUUUAAGUAUAUGCUUAUAACAAGUUUUUUUGGCCUUUUGUUGAGCAUGAAUUUUUAUGUUGAGAGGUUUAUCG